AAUGAACGCUGGCGGCGCGCCUAAUACAUGCAAGUCGAGCGAGAAGACGUAGCAAUACGUUUGUAAAGCGGCGAACGGGUGAGGAAUACAUGGGUAACCUACCCUCGAGUGGGGAAUAACUAGCCGAAAGGUUAGCUAAUACCGCGUACGCUUCUUGGACUUCGGUUCAGGGAGGAAAGCGAUACCGUGGGUAUCGCGCUCUUGGAUGGGCUCAUGUCCUAUCAGCUUGUUGGUGAGGUAACGGCUCACCAAGGCUUCGACGGGUAGCUGGUCUGAGAGGACGAUCAGCCACACUGGCACUGCGACACGGGCCAGACUCCUACGGGAGGCAGCAGUAAGGAAUAUUGCGCAAUGGGCGAAAGCCUGACGCAGCGACGCCGCGUGGGGGAUGAAGGUCUUCGGAUUGU
RNAcentral lists this ribosomal RNA (407 nucleotides) under uncultured bacterium. RNAcentral describes it as "bacterial SSU rRNA". It matches the Rfam family "Bacterial small subunit ribosomal RNA", at positions 29 to 426 of the family's 1533-position model. The record is from RNAcentral.